This 301-nucleotide ribosomal RNA is filed under the name uncultured bacterium. RNAcentral's name for it is "partial 16S ribosomal RNA". It matches the Rfam family "Bacterial small subunit ribosomal RNA", at positions 509 to 807 of the family's 1533-position model. The record is from RNAcentral.
CAGUCGCCGCGGUAAUACAGAGGGUGCGAGCGUUAAUCGGAUUUACUGGGCGUAAAGCGUGCGUAGGCGGCUAAUUGAGUCGGAUGUGAAAUCCCCGAGCUUAACUUGGGAAUUGCAUUCGAUACUGGUUAGCUAGAGUGUGGGAGAGGAUGGUAGAAUUCCAGGUGUAGCGGUGAAAUGCGUAGAGAUCUGGAGGAAUACCGAUGGCGAAGGCGGCCCCCUGGACAAAGACUGACGCUCAGGUGCGAAAGCGUGGGGAGCAAACAGGAUUAGAUACCCGCGUAGUCCCUGUCUCUUAUAC